GUGGGGAAUAUUGCACAAUGGGGGAAACCCUGAUGCAGCCAUGCCGCGUGUGUGAAGAAGGCCUUCGGGUUGUAAAGCACUUUCAGCGAGGAGGAAAGGAUGCUGGCUAAUAUCCAGCAUCUGUGACGUUACUCGCAGAAGAAGCACCGGCUAACUCUGUGUCAGCAGCCGCGGUAAUACAGAGGGUGCAAGCGUUAAUCGGAAUUACUGGGCGUAAAGCGCACGCAGGCGGUUGGAUAAGUUAGAUGUGAAAGCCCCGGGCUCAACCUGGGAAUUGCAUUUAAAACUGUCCAGCUAGAGUCUUGUAGAGGGGGGUAGAAUUCCAGGUGUAGCGGUGAAAUGCGUAGAGAUCUGGAGGAAUACCGGUGGCGAAGGCGGCCCCCUGGACAAAGACUGACGCUCAGGUGCGAAAGCGUGGGGAGCAAACAGGAUUAGAUACCCCGGUAGUCC
Molecule: ribosomal RNA, 450 nt
Filed under: uncultured bacterium
Lineage: Bacteria
Description: partial 16S ribosomal RNA
Rfam family: Bacterial small subunit ribosomal RNA
Source: RNAcentral